RNAcentral lists this ribosomal RNA (113 nucleotides) under Danio rerio (zebrafish). Lineage: Eukaryota; Metazoa; Chordata; Actinopteri; Cypriniformes; Danionidae. The record is from RNAcentral.
AACUGUAUUGAUUUUGCUCUGCAACUCUCACAUGGUCACUGAAGUUAAGCAGGGCUGCGCCCGGUCAGUACCUGGAUGGGAGACCACAUGGGAAAGCUAGGUUGCUGCCGUAA